Molecule: transfer RNA, 72 nt
Filed under: Danionella translucida
Lineage: Eukaryota; Metazoa; Chordata; Actinopteri; Cypriniformes; Danionidae
Also listed under: 1 other name
Rfam family: tRNA
About the family: Transfer RNA (tRNA) molecules are approximately 80 nucleotides in length.
Source: Rfam by way of RNAcentral
GGCUCGUUGGUCUAGGGGUAUGAUUCUCGCUUUGAAUGCGAGAGAUCCCAUGUUCAAAUCCUGGAAGAACCC